RNAcentral lists this ribosomal RNA (441 nucleotides) under uncultured bacterium. RNAcentral's name for it is "partial 16S ribosomal RNA". It matches the Rfam family "Bacterial small subunit ribosomal RNA", at positions 338 to 795 of the family's 1533-position model. The record is from RNAcentral.
CCUACGGGUGGCAGCAGUGGGGAAUAUUGCACAAUGGGCGGAACCCUGAUGCAGCGACGCCGCGUGGGUGAAGAAUUGCUUCGGCAUGUAAAGCCCUAUCUGCAGGGAAGUAACAAGACGGUACCUGACUAAGAAGCCCCGGCUAACUACGUGCCGGCAGCCGCGGUAAUACGUAGGGGGCGAGCGUUAUCCGGAUUCACUGGGUGUAAAGGGAGCGUAGACGGGCAUUCAAGCCAGGGGUGAAAGGCUGCGGCUCAACCCCGGGAGUGCAAUUGAUACUGGGCGGCUAGAGUGCGGGAGGGGUAGGCGGAAUUCGUGGUGUAGCGGUGAAAUGCGUAGAUAUCAGGAAGAACACCGAUGGCGAAGGCGGCUUGCUGGACCGCGACUGACAUUGAGGCUCGAAAGCGUGGGGAGCGAACAGGAUUAGAUACCCGUGUAGUC